Molecule: ribosomal RNA, 398 nt
Filed under: uncultured bacterium
Lineage: Bacteria
Description: partial 16S ribosomal RNA
Rfam family: Bacterial small subunit ribosomal RNA
Source: RNAcentral
AUACGUAGGGUGCGAGCGUUGUCCGGAAUUACUGGGCGUAAAGAGCUCGUAGGUGGUUUGUCGCGUCGUCUGUGAAAUUCCGGGGCUUAACUCCGGGCGUGCAGGCGAUACGGGCAUAACUUGAGUACUGUAGGGGAGACUGGAAUUCCUGGUGUAGCGGUGAAAUGCGCAGAUAUCAGGAGGAACACCGGGGGCGAAGGGGGGUCUCCGGGCAGGAACGGGAGCUGAGGGGGGAAAGCAGGGGUAGCGAACCGGAUUAGAUUCCCUGGUAGGCCAUGGCGGAAACGGUGGUCGCUAGGUGUAGGGGUCUUCCGCGACUUCUGUGCCGUAGCUAACGCAUUAAGCGCCCCGCCUGGGGAGUACGGCCGCAAGGCUAAAACUCAAAGGAAUUGACGGGG